CAUAUUUAUACAGUAUUGAUUAUGAACUUUGACAUACAUUGGUUAUAAUGUGCUUACAAAAGAUAAAUGUUGCUAAAAGCGGAAAUAGCUGAUCUUGCAAAAGACCACGGUUAAUGUUAGUUUGCGGAUGCGUCUGUUGAUUCAAAAGCAGAAGUGAUAAAUCAAAAAUAACCUGUGGUUUGUCUAGUUUUUAGCUCUUGUGUAAAUCUUAAGAAAGAGAAUAUAAUAUCAGAAAUUAUAGAUGAGAAUCAUUAACCCCUUCCCUUCAUUCCCCUCUUUGAGCAAGACCUUGCUCAUACCCCAUUUGGGUUGUUUUAGCCAGGGUAGCUGUUCAUGGUAUAUUCAGAAUUGCUAGCCAAUUCUGCAGGACUUUCAUUAUUUCUUCGGCCACUAUUCCCAUGGCAUAUACCCUGGCUAACAUAGAUCACAUGUAGAUAUUUUGGGGAGUAUAGCUAUCAUGCAUGUAGAAUUGUAAGUAUUCCGCAUACACUGGUGGUGGAGGUAGUGGACGUGAUGGGGGUGUGUGUUUGUAGAUGCAGAAUAUCACUCUUACAAGUACAUAAAAGAAGAGAGAGAUAGAAGCCCCCAUAACCAAGAUCAGACCUAUGGUUUUUACUGAAUUAAGGAUAGAAGAGAAAUUAAACCAAUCACCCCAGUAAUUAUCUACUCCAGAGUUACUCUUUAUUUCCUUUGCCAAAUCUUCUAAUUUCUGUAUUGCUAAUGUUACUUUUCCAUUGGGGCCAGUGUUCUGAGGGAUAUAGGUGCAACAUACUCCUGAGGCAAUGUAUU
Molecule: non-coding RNA, 789 nt
Organism: Pelobates cultripes (western spadefoot toad)
Lineage: Eukaryota; Metazoa; Chordata; Amphibia; Anura; Pelobatidae
Source: the annotation of a GenBank genome assembly